CGGGGUGAGCUAGAAGCUCAAUGAGGUACCAAAACUAUGAACAGUAGAAAUCAUGAGAAAACAUUUAUAAGUCACAUAUCCACAUCAAGUAAAAGAAAUGAACGAACAUCACACUUUAAAGGAUACAGAUGGCUCUCAGGAGCCAGAUUUCUAUUUGCAGUACUUGAUCCGAACCUGUUGACUCUCCGUCAACGUAAAUAGAACCAACAUGUCCGUAGACCCCACUUUACACCAAUUCCGUCCACCAAACAUACCCCUAUUGGGCCCGCACACCGAACAGAGCAGACGUGGUAAUACUCGAGUAUACCCGGAAUCAAGGGUCUCAAUACCCAAAGAUCCCAAAACAGACUACCGUAGUUCGUUAUCUAAUCGACCAAGCCCUUGUCGGCCCGAUUCGAAUAACUAGCCACAGGGGUUGAGCUCAGAGGUCACAGAAAGGUCGUUGGAUACAAGUUCCAAACGACGUCCGAACAGAUACAGAUACAAAUACAGAUGACAGAUACAGAUACAGAUUCAGAUUCGCACCAAAAUUGGCAUAUAAACAGACAAGAGAACGAGUGUGAUAAAGUACACCCUCGUCUCAAACAAAAUAAACAGAUAGUGCAGUCAUUUAACUCACAGAUGGCAGGCCAGAAAUCAAGUUAAACAGCAAUUGAGGGAAGUGGUACACUCACCAGUUUCAGUACAGACACGUCAAAAGUUUUUGCCCAAAAUAGAGCUUUAAUCACCAAGAAGCCCUAAAAUAACCAAGGUGAAACAAUUAUAAUUCCACUUUAACGAAUCCAGUACACCAAAUACACAUAUAAUCAAAGGCAUGAACAACCCAAAAACCCUUCGCUCAAGUCAUAAGUAACUCCAACUAGCCUUCAAGUAAAGUUUCGGCCAGCAUAUCCCUUGUGUUUACCUAUUUUCCAGCAAUUAAUGGCUUCAUUAUUUUCCUCAAAUCAGUCCCAACAUGCCAUACAGAAUAAUCUCAGUUCCAAAAUCCAUUCACUAGGCUUAAAGUUAUAUAAAUAAAACAAUCAACCUAGAAACAUUUUCGGAAAUGAAAUUAAGCUCUAAACCAGAAAAACAGUUUUUGACGUUAUUUUGCGGUUUUGACACCAUUGGCACUAUGGUUAUCGGAUGGAGGUACAAGACCCACCUUUUCGAAGCUAAGAGAUAGGGAUACAACAUUGUAGAAGGUCACUCAGUCCAGUUCCUAGUGCAACUAGGUCAAAAAUGCAGAAUACUAAACCAGAACUGCAAAAACAGGUUAUCCAACCACAUUCUGGUUCAACUACCAUAAGUCAGGCUACCUAAGUCCAAAUCAGAUGAUUCCAAAACCAUCCGAAAGCUAAGAUACAAGGAUAAAAUUCAUCAGAAGGCAUCAACAACCAAAUCAGAAGUAUUCCCAGCCAAAAUACCCAAUUACAGAAGCAAUUCUCAAGUUCGGGUAAAACCAGGGCAGCAAGGGUAUUUCAGUCUUUUCACAUGAUACGCUACUCCGAUUGACCUGAAAUUUUGUAAGCACCUCUAAACUAUCAUUCCCUACAACUUUCAUGUUUUAAGCCAAGCCCAAUUCGGCCUCUAACUAUGAGCUACAAAACCGGGCAGAAUGUAGAACUUGGAAACCCUGUUUUUUUCAAUUUUCUUCCAAAACAGAAAUUUCUUGCAAUUUUCCACUUUUUCCACCUUCCAGCUUCCUUAAAUACCAUUUCCAAUCAUCAUAUAUAACCACAUAAUCAUCUUCAUAUGAAAACAGAAAAAUCCCCAAAAAUUAUAAAACUUCAUCAAUUCAACCAAAAAUCAAGAUAUAAUCCAUAAAAGUGCAUCUUAUACUACCACUAAUCAUGAUUGAAGCAUCAUUAGAGGGAGGAGAGGGGUCCUUCUCAACUUACCUUAGCAACACAAGAGAGAGAGCAACUAAUCACUUUAGCCUUCCAAACAACUCCACAAAACAACUCACUAUCACUCCCUUAAGUGUUUCUAUGGAACAAAAACAAGUUUAGAUGGUUGAGUUCUUGGAUUUGAGCAAGAGAGAAUCAAGAAGUUGAAAAGGUUUUCUUUCUUUCUUUCUUGGAGAGAGAUUCGGCCAAGCUUGAAGAAAAAUGGAAGAUUUUUGGUCAAUUUUUUUGUUUUAUUUAGUAAUUGGUAAAAGGUUGAAUAGUAAGUCAAAACAAGAUUUAAUCAUAUGGUGACACAUGUCACCUUCAUUAAAUGUAUGCCUAACUUUUUUUGUCUUUCUCACACCUAUGCACUUGGUACCUCUAAAUAUCUCAUAACACCCGGUAAGUUAAACCCAGUACCCAAAACUUAACCUGACUGGCCGAAUUUUUCCGAACUUUCCGCACUAGCGGGUCCCACGUCCGUUAUACGUUCUUAAUUUUUCAAAAACUAUCUGAUACUAGGAAAAUCAUCUAAAAACUAUAUUAACUCAUAAAAUUAUCUGGAAAAUUUUUCUACUAAAAAAAAUGCAGAAAAGCAUGCGAUUAAAUAAAAACUAAAGCUUAGGAAAAAUGAAGAAAGUACGGGUUCUCACAGCAAAAGCCAGUAAAAAUUUCCAUUAAUCCAAUAAUACAUCUAGUUAAACAAUCCAUGCAAUGCAUUUACAUGCUAAAAGCAUCGUAUGUAAUCUGAAUUAUCAAGUUAAAGUGUCCUGAUUCUCCACAAUUAUAUAUACCUUUCAAAAAGGCUUGAUCCUAAAUAUCAUAAGGUAUAAAUUGAAAUUCUAAAACAUAUUUUGAGGGGAAAUUCAAAGCAUAAGCACGAAUAAGGAUUUGAUAUGUGCCGUAUCUAAUAUUAUGUAAUUAAGUAAAGCAUACCUCUUGGAAAAGUAGCAACAACAAAAAAUGACAUCUGAUUCCUUUGACAUGCCAUGCGAACAAUCGCUUGUUGUGCUAAAUUAACCACUAAAUAGCCAAGAAUUCAUUUAUUGACAACAUAAAUAGGAAUAAAACAGAGUGCAAGAAGAUAUACAUUUUGUCCAUUAUUUGAUAGGAACAUGUUCCAUAGAAAAUACAUCACAAUCACAAUUUUAUAUGCAAUCUAGCAUUUGAUAAAGUUAAAAAUCUUUUCUUGCUGGCACACCAUUUGCGUCAAUUCAACCUUACCAAAUAAUAAUAGCAAAUUUUUUGCGUAUAAACUUUGGAAGUCUUUGAUAUUCCUCAACCAUGGGAGAGGGAAAAUCUAGAAAGGAAUAGAACAAACCAUGAAUUAACUGUUUUGGGAGAAUAUGGUGGUUCUAUUCUCAAUCCAUUUGGAAUUAAUCUAGAGCAUCCAUUUUCUCAUGUGUUUAUUGCACAAACCCUGAGUUUUCCUCUACCUCUUUUAUGGGUAAUGUGGUAUCUCUGUCAUUAGUACCAUAUACUAAUGGAAUUCCAAAGUCCGUUCCUUUCACAAAUAAAAGAACCUAACUAACUAAUUACAGAGGCAACCCCAGAAUAAUAUUCUAUCCUAAGCAUUUUCCUCUAACUCGGAAUAUUUAUUCUAAACUUUAAACAAUUUUGAUAAAAUCCAGAAAAAAUUGCAUAUGCUAUGCUAAACAUAACAAUCCGUAAAUCUAUGCCUCCCGAAAUAUAUUAGAGACAAAAAUCCUGCGAAAAGAUGAAAACUACACUGGAUUUCAUCAGUUAUUUGCAAUAGAUAUAUUACUAGCAAAGUUCCAAACUUUGUUCAAUUACAACAAAUUAAGGGCAAGAAAUGAAGCUGCUUAUUUAGUACCUUUAUCAUUAAAGAGGCAAAAUUAUGUUGAUGUCAACAAGGAAGUAAGGGCAUGGCCAUAGCUAAUAGAGUUACCACAUUUGUAGUUUAAUAUUACUACCACAGAGAAUUUUGUGAUGGUACAGAACUAGAUUGUAAGCAAUAGAAGAAAUAUCAAAGCAACCAAUAUGAACUUAACUACAACAGAAAUUAAUGGAGCAAAGAGUUUGAGAAUUCAAAAGAUGAAUUCAGCCUUUCAUUAAUGAACUUCAAUAACAACUUACAACAAUGGAAAUUAUGGAUUCAGAGAAGAAGGGGAAAGAGAUGAAGGAAAACGUGGGAAAAGGAAAUGAGAUUGGCAAUGCCAAAUAUUCUUACAACCAAAUCUAGAAAAAUGACAAAAGAUGAUUCAUUACAAAAAUUCCCCACGCUUAUAUCAUUUCCUAAGCUUCCUAACUUCCAACUUGACCAACGAGCAUAAGACAUGUGUCCUUCCUAGAAUCUUCAGUUGCAAUGGUCCUCAGCUCUUGCAGAAUUUGCAGAUUUCUAGUAAAGACAUGCUCCUGAAAUCACGCCUUCCUUCAACUUCUCACUGUCUCUCUCUCCACGCCUUUGUUUUUGUUUCACGCCUUCUCAUUUCUUCAUGCUCCUGUAAACAAAAACUGAGUAUCAGUCCUUCCACUCCAUGACAGAGCUUCCCUCUUCAGAAAAUCUUGCCCUCAAGAUUGGAACUAAAGAAAUUGCCUCUCAAUUUCCUCAUCAUUCUCACAGGUUGCUCCGGCUGGAUCAGUUCCCCACCAAUGCACCAACCACUGUACUACUGCAGCAUUUCUUUUCUUAGCUAUUCUCCUGUCCAGCACUGCUACUAGUUCCAAUCUCAAGUGCCCUUUUGCAUCAACAUCUGGUGGUUGCAGAAUUGGAGCAAUAUGGUCCCUAAUCUUCCUCUUCACUAAGGAAACAUGGAAGACUGGAUGGAUCUUAGAACCUGCUGGCAAGUUCAAUCUGUAUGCAACCUUCCCAAUCUUUUCCUCCACCAUAUAGGGCCCGUAGUAUUUAGCUGAUAGUUUGGUGUUGCUCCUUAUAGCUACUGAACUUUGUCUGUAAGGCUAUAACCUCAAGUACACCGAAUCUCCCACUUCGAAUUCCUCUCACUCCUCUUCUCAUCAGCAUAUCUCUUCAUCCUCUCCUGAGCUUGUUUCAAGUUCUGCUUCAGUGUAAUGUCAAUCUUCUGCCUAUCCGUACAUAGUAUUCAACUAUAACCACUCUAGCUUGAGUGUAAGGCCCCAAAGCUAGCUAUGGUGGUGGCUUGCCAUAUAAUGCUUCAAAAGAGGACAUCUGUAUGGUUGUGUGGUAGGUGGUAUUGUACUACCAUUUAGCUAGAGACAGUCAAUGAUUCCACUUCCUUGGUUCCAAGUGUGAGAAACAUCUAAGGUACAUCUCCAAGACUUGAUUCACUCUUUUAGUCUGGCCAUUAGAUUGAGGGUGGUAAGCUAUGGUGAGGUCGAGUUUAGCUCCCAGUAGUGAAAAUAGCUCAAUUCAAAAUUGACUAACAAAAAUCCUAUCCUUGUCUAAUAACAUACUCUAGGGUAUUCCAUGCAUUUGGUUACAUAAUCAAUUUGGGUGCAUCAAAGGGGUGUGAUAGGCUCAAGAAAUGUGCAUAUUUUGUGUAUCUAUCAACUACUACCAUGAUGGUGUUCUUCCCUUUAGAGUUAGGCAAUCCCUCAACGAAAUCCAUAGUAACAUGACUCCAGGGGUAUUGUGGGAUUGGCAGGGAUUGUAGCAGCCCAGGAUAUGCAACAUGUUGACCCUUGCACCUCCUGCAUACAUCACAUUCCAAUGCUGUUGCUUUUAUUUGCUUAUACACCCUUGGCCAGCAGAAUAGUUGCUUGGCCCUCAUGUAGCUUGCCUGUACCCCAGAGUGUCCUCCCAAUUGUGAAUCAUGGAGAGCAGUGAUCAACCAUCUCCUUAUGUUUCCUCUUGAACCCGCUGCCACCCUAUUAUGGUACUUCAACACUCCAUUCUAGUAGCUAAAGUUAGGAAUCUUAUUAGGGCUCAGCACUGCUUCCCUGAUGAGGUUUUGUGCCCACUCAUCCCCUUCAUAGCUUUCUAUCACCUCCUUCACCCAUUCAGGAACCACACUGACCAUUACAGCAUACUCCAGGUCCUCCCCAUCCCUUCUAGGUAAAGCAUCAGCCACCACAUUCUCCUUCCCUUUCUUGUAUUGAAUUUCAUGGCUUAAGUCCACCAGCUUUGCUAGCCACUUCUGCUGCAAAGGGGUUGUAAUUCCCUACUCUAGUAGGUAUUUCAACCUUUGAUGGUCAAUAUUGUCGCGCCCCAUUUUUUGAUAAAUAAAUAAAGUGGUUUAAAAAAAUGUAUUUUUUGUGAUUGAAAAAAUGAAUUGCGAUUUAAAAGAAAAGUGGGCCUCAAUGGGGUUUUGAGAAUGCGACGAUUUGACCCAAAAUUAUAGUUUAAAAAGGGUUUUUUGAAAUAAAAAAUCGGAGUCGCCACUUGGUAAUGAGUUAAGGUGUACCAAGUCACCUAAAAAUGUAUUUUUAAAGAAAAAUAGGAAAAAGUAGUGAGAAACCCUUUUUAAACGACUCCUAGUCUACGUAAACCAAAGAAAAAGGUUCGGGAGUCACAUUUGACAAAGGGGAAGGCAAGGAUAAAAUCCAAGGCACCCCUUUGACCUAGCCAAGGCUAGUUGCAUGAUUUAAUCAAAGAUUUUCUUGUUUUAACCAAAGAAUUUAUUACAUUUGGAUGCACUACAUGAAUGCAAACCCUAGACCUAGGGGUAUUGGGGGAAAUUUCUCUUCAAAGGUUGAGUGGUAUCAAUCACAUUAAUGGUGAAGCCCAAUAACGAUCCUUUGAAGAAGUCACGAAUGAUGCGAGUGGGAUGCAAAUGAAUGGAAUGCAUGUAUGCAAUGUGAGGACAUGAGUUUGAAAAGGUAAUAAAGGGCAAUAAUAUGUAAGUGAAAAUGUGCACGUGAGUGGGCAAAAUACGGUAUGUGAAAUGAUAAUAUGAAGUGCAUGUGUGCAAGUGAUGAUAAAAGUGUUCGUGUGCAAGUGAAGGGAUAAAAGGUGUACGUGUGCAAAAUGAGACAAAAGUGUACGUGUGCAAAUGGGAGGAAAAAAUGAAAGUGUAAUGAUAGAGUGGAUGCAUGAACCUAGGGAAUUCAUGCAUAAUGGGUACGGGGAGACCUAAAUCGUGACUCAAUUUGCCCUUUUAUAGAGGGAAUACAAGCGUGCUAAAGCUUAGAAAAAGCCACACUCGUCUAUAUCCCAUAUUUAAGGGGACUCUCAAGCAAAUGAACCCUAUAACUAGCAUGAAAUGCAAAAAUCCUAAAAUGGAAGGAAAAGGGGUUCGAGGGGCAUGCAAAAAUGAUAAAACUAAAAAGAAUGCAUGACAUGUAAUGAACAUGCAAAUAUGCACUAUCGAAAGGGGAAAUGGCUUAUUGGGUCUAGCAUUGGACUAGCCCAUUCUAUGAAUUUCUACUAGCAUUGGACUAGUGGAAACGGAACAAUGAACCACAACUAGCGUUGGACUAGUGUGGUGACGGGAAAGGGGGCCACAACUAGCAUUGGACUAGUGUGGCGACGUCCAUUCAUCCAUCACAUUCAUUCAUGACUAUAAAAAGCGAGUAGACAUGCGAAUCACUUAUAAACACGUAGCACAUAACACUUAGCAUGCUUGACUAGAUGCAAGGACCUAAUAAAGCGAUUAAACACGUAGCAACGAAAGCAAGCAAUGAACUUAUUACAUUUGCUAACUAAAACAAAGGGGGGAAAGGGAAAAUGGACAAGAAAGCUCGCCAAGCCCUAUCUAUUACAAGCCAAUAGGUGUACACAUACCCCAUAAUGAAUAACUUAAAUAAAAGUAAAAGUAGAUGAAAUAAAUGCAAGGAAUUAAGGGAAGGCAAGAAAAGCGAAGUAGACAUGCAUAUUCACAUAACACGUAGGAGCACGUAGGGUCAAAUGAAGUGCAAAUAUAAGGGGUAGAAUGUACCUCCCUUGAAUCGACGCCCUAACGUAGUGAAGUUACUAAUUUACCCUCCAAAAUAAUAAAAAGGUCAAGGUACCACUUAAAUUAUCAAAUAAAUCAGAGAAAAUGGAAACAAACGUCAAAUUGAAUCACUCGAAGCAUUCCAAGGAAAGUAAACUACUCGUACUUAACCAAUUAAGACAAACAAAGACCCAAUUGAAAAAAUUAACGAGGUCUAAAGGGCCAAUUUAUUACUAUUAUAAACACUAAGGGACUAAAAAACAUAAAAUAAAAUUAAGAAUCUAAGGUGAAACUUACCAAAUCAAACUAGAAAAUUCACAAAAAGGUAAACGAGGAGCAAUUUACUAGUAGCUAAACAACCAAAUGCCAAAGAAUCCAAAAAAUCAAAUUAACAACAAGUCUAGGAAAAAGAAAUUAUUAGACCCUUCAAAUUCAUUCUACAACCCCUUAAGUAUCUACCCAAAACAAAUCAAGAUGUAUUAAAGAGGAAAUGGCAUGUUAGGAGGACAAAAUUAAUUAAGUUUUCCAAUUAAUUGGGCCAUGGAAGCAUUAGAUGGAAGCCAAGGGGUUGGAGUGCGAUUUUUGAAAGUCAUUUUCAUGCAAAAGCCAUGCAAUCACGUAGAAGAAACUUUCUCUGCAACAAAUUUCAUUUCCAGCCGUGGCUUCUUUCCAUUCUACCAUGCAAACACAAUCCAACAAACAAAAAAAAAAAACUUGUAAGGAGAUCAAACAUUCUUCCCCCUCUUCGGAACGCAAAAAUCCAGAAAAACAAGAAUAUUCAAAUGCUAAAACAAAAUCCAGCAACUUUGGCUUGUUCUUCCUAGUUCAUGCUGAAAACUAGCAAAAUAGAUGACUAAACCAGUUUUGGUGAACUGCUGCAACAUUUUAUAACUUCAGCAAAUCUCUUUCCUUGCAACCAUGUUCAUGCCAAUUCUUUAUUCAAAUUAAACACAUUCAUGCAAACAAACUAAGAGGGAAACAUGCUGGAAGUAUUAUUUAAUAAAAUCAGCAAAGCUUGGAACGAAAUGGAAGAAAACAACAAGAUAAGGUCGUGAGUUUCUGGUUCAGCAAACUGAAAUGCAUUUUCCAGCAAAUGCUCAAACAUGCCAACUCAAACCUUACUUAUCCCAUUGAACACAACAUCCAUUACCACAUGACAACAAGAAAAACUGGUCUGCCCAACAACAAAGAAAGAACGAAAAAUGCAGCUAGAGUUCCUGCAACAAACAAGCAGGCUGCUGCAUUUUGUUCUACUUUUUCCUUACACACACAAACAUCAAUGCCAAACCUUCCCUCUCAUCCCUUCAACACCAAAUUAAGCAUGAAAACUGAAGUGCAAAACUCAACUAGUAACUAAGGAGAAGGCAACACGGCAGAGAAAAGAAAAUGCAGCAGCUUCUCCUUGCUGCGUUUUUGAAGAGAAUGACUCUUAAAUAACUUGGGCAACUUCAGCAAUUUCAUACCAUGAGUUUCCAACAAAACUUUCAGAUUCAAAAUACAUCAGAAAUGACACAUAUUCAUGCUAAACUCUGACCCAAACAAACCAGAGACAAGUCGCAAACAUCAAAACAUUUCUGCAUUUUCUAAUUGCAACAUUGCCGCAGCUUCAUCAAGAAAAGCAGAAAGUUUUGCAACCCAAGGUUCACUAUGUUCACCAUGAAUGCACACUUAGACAAGCAAACAAGGGAAUUCGGGGAUAGAGAGGGACUGAAACAUGUAUUUUCCAGACAUGACGAAGAAAACACCAAACUCCAGCUAAUGCGUCAAAAUGCAGCGAUGGGCAAGAAGCAAAUGACAUGUUGCGGCAAGCUUUCAAACACAAACAUAACCACACUAUGAUUCAAACAAACCACAUAGGCUUAUCAAGGAGAAAUCUGUAGAAAGACUCCUACAAUACCUCAUCAGAAUUAGAUGCUGAACACAUAAACGAAACAAAAAAAAACUGAGUUGCAGAAAGGCUAAAUAAAACCCAAAUUCGUUCAUGAAGAUCCUGCAUAAUUUCUAAUCUCCUCUUUGCAAUCCACCAUUCGUACGUUAAAACCCCAAACAAAGUCAUGCAAAAUCUGGGAUAAUGUUCUGUAACUUCACAACCAUGACAUUCAAGGCACACACGACUAACAAAAUUCAACCAAAGACGUAAUCUUUCGAACCAGCACAGCACUUUCUACUACUUCCAACGUCAAACAGAUCAAAUGUUUCAUUCCAACGCAAAACUAUAGUAGAAGAGUGGAACUUUUAGCUGCGGAGAAAGAUAAAAGAAACGGUUACCUUGAGAAUCCUGACACCAAAUUUAUGGAGACCCGUGAGCUUGCUGCGACCUUGAUGAAGAAUCCGCUGCUGGUUCCUCCUCUUUACUUACAUAACUCUGCUUUCUUCUUUUCCUCCCAAUCAGAAACCAGUCGCUCCUUCUUCUAACCCUCAGUCUUUUCUUGCUUUUCUAAACCUCCGCCAUCCAGAUUCUAUGCUCUCUCUAUCUCUCGGCCCUUUCUCUCUAGCCCCUUCUCACAGCCGACCCUCUCAACUCCCCAGACUCCCUUCCAUUUUUUUAUUUUUUUUUUCCGUCAGCUUGCUCCCAAAACCUCUAUCUCUCUCCUUCAAGCUUUCUCACUCUGUCCGUCUCCUCUCAAAACCUCUCUUGCGGCUGCCUUUCUUUUUAGCUUUUAUACCAGAAUCCCCAACCCUAAACAACUUUCCUCAAAUUGCAGCUGAAGGGCUGCCUGGUCCUCUGUUUGCAAGCUGCGGCAAUACGCAGCUUGCAUGAAGCAUUUCUUUUUUUUUUUAAAUUAAUUAAAACAAUAUUGAUAAUAAUAAAAAUAAAUGACAAAAACAAAUUAAUUAACAUUGGAUAACAUAAACAAGAAAUAACAAAAUGCCAAUUCCACUUUUCCCUUUUUAUUUUCCAUUUUCAUCAUUUUUUUUUUUGCUCUUUUCUUUUUUUCUAAAUGAACCAAACAAAAAUAAAAGAUAAAUUAAGUAGAAAUGACUAAAAUAGAUAAAUAAAACCAAAUAAAACAAAAUUGCUAUUUUUUCCUUUUCCUUUUUCCCUUUUUUUUCUUAUGAUUUUUCCUUUUUUCAUUCUUUUCCAUUCAUUUUUCCAUUGUUUUCUUUUUCUUUUUGAGAAAUUCCAUCCUAAAAGCUUAAAAAUAAAAUAAUAACAUGAAAACUAAAAAGACUGAAAAACUAAAAAUGAAUAAAACAAACAUGACAAAAACAAUAACUAAGAAAUAAAGAGUAAAUGAACUUGAGCUAAAAUUUGGUGUCUACAGUUUGCCCCUCUUUGUCUGAGUUUUGAAAAAACUUGAGACAAAGAAGUAGACACCAAAUACUUACCUGUGUUAUUUGACGGUGAAAACGUCUCGCACACAAUGGACGCUUUAGAAACGGGGACUGACUCCUGACAGGAAAUUUUAAAAAUCGGGACUGACCCGAACUGGAAUUUAAACGGGACUGACCCGAAGAAAAAUGUAAAAUGGGAUAGACCUGAACAGAAACGUAAAUGGGAUAGACUCGAACAGAAAAUGAAAAAUGGGAUAGACCCAAACAGAAAAUGUAAAAUGGGAUAGACCACGGGAUAGACCCGAACAGAAAUUUAAAUGGGAUAGACCCAGACAGAAAUGUAAAUGGGAUAGACUCAGACAGAAAUUUAAAUGGGAUAGACCCACGGGAUAGACCGAACAGAAAAUGUAAAAUGAAGAACUGUAUAAGACUUGUUUGAAAAAAUUAUCUAAAAAUUUGCCCCAGUGUGAUGAAUUGGUCGGUGGGAUAACAUCUGAGUCUGACGGGGUGUGGACGGUCAGUGGGAUAGAACCCCGGUCCUGCCGAGGUUGGCGGGAUAAAACCCGGUCCCAACGUAGAUAAAAAAUGUCCCAACCCGGUCCCAAUGUAGAUAAAAAGCGGUCAGCGGGAUAGAACCCGGUCCUGCGAAGUAAGCGGUUAGUGGGAUAAAACCCGGUCCUGCCGAGGUAAGUAGCGGGAUAAAACCCGGUCCUGCCGAAAUAAAACCCGGUCCUGCCGAGGUUAGCGGUCAGCGGUCCUGCCGAGGUUAGCGGUCAGCGGGAUAAAACCCGGUCCUCUCGGUCAGCGGGAUAAAACCCGGUCCUGCCGAUGUAAGCGGUCAGCGGGAUAAAACCCGGUCCUGCCAAGGUUGGCGGCACCAAGCCCAGGGCCAACGUGAUCUUGUGAAGUUGGCGGCACCAAGUCCAGGCCCAACAGGAUGUUUAGGACGUCAAGAGAAGGGGGGAACAGAAUGAUGCGUGGCGUGCAUUGAAGCUUCGCCCACAAGAAAUCAAAUCUGAUUUUUCCACAGACAAGAAUUUGAACUUGAUUUUUGACUUUUUGAAUUGAUUUUUUUUUUUGAGAGAAUUUUCAAAAAUAAUUUGCCCCAAGUGUAGGGCCCAUUUCCCUUCUUUCUUCACUUUCUUCGGCAUCGGCCUCCCACAUCACUAGAUGCUUUUUCGUCAUUUUGAACCAUGAAUACCUGUUCAAGGGGUUCAUCAAAGUAUGACAUGCAUUCAAAUUUCUUAUUUGGAAAGAACAGCGUGAUUGGUUUGACAUCCUCAAAUGUAUUACAAAAUUUUGCCCCAGUAUGGGCUAUUUUGCAAAAUCUCUCACAUGAAAAUUUGCCCCAGUGUAGGCCUAUUUAAUUGCAAAAAAAUUUGCUUGAAUGACCCUCCAUUUAUUUGAACCAAGUAAGCAAUUGCUUUUCCUAACAUAUCAUGUGAAGGAAAUUGAAAUGUCUUGCUUAAACUCAUACAGGAAAUUUCAUGAUGAAUUUCUCAAAAUAAUGCCAAAUUAUGAAAGAUCAAUGCUUUGGGUAAUGGAUCACAAUUUAUUGGCUCAUUUUUCAGGAGCAAUCCAGUGAUCUUAUUUCUGAUUUGGCUAAGGAAAUGGGAGGUCAGAAUUUGUCUCAUUUUUGUGCCCCAGUUGUAUGUAACCCAUUCAAUGUCACAUCUUAGUGAAAGCAAAUAGUUUGUCACCUUCAUUUCUUAAGAAAAUUGAGUCAACAUAUAAGCUUUAAGUUUGCAACAACUGGGUAAGAACGAUAGCUAAACAUGCGAAAACUGGUUAUACCCUUAUGAUCACAAAUGAUUGAUAGAUUUUCUUAUGAGCAUAAUCCUCACUUUGGGCUGUCAUGAAGGAAUAAGUCAACGAUGGACUUUAUUAGUUUGUAAUGUGGUUUGAACACGAUAGUUGAAGGAUAAGUCAAGGACAUUGCACCACAGAUCGCAUUUUUCCAAAAUUGCCCCUAUUUUGAACUCGAAGAUUCUGAACUUUGUUUGAUCACUCAAUAGGGACUUCACCAUCGAAUCUUUUGUAUUUCAUUUUUUCGUUUUGCUUUUCCGUUUUCUUUUCUUUGAUCUGGUGGGUUUUCCAUGGUGAGUAGCGUCAACCCCAUACCCGAGUAAUUCAAAAAUACAGCUAAAAUUUUUCAGCAUCAGAAAUUUUCUUGACAGGGCCAUUGCAAAGAACAGAAGUUAGGACUUUCGGCUUUUGUAAUGGGGUCAGGUGGGGGGCUUAAAAAAAUUAAGGCUUGAAAGCGGAUUUCAAAAGUGGUUUGAAGAAUCUGAGAUCGCAUUGUUGCGCCAACCCUAUUUUAGGGUUAAAUCGGAAUUUGCCCCAGUUUAUGCUCAAUUGAGGCUUUUCCCCUUUCAUUUUCUUUCUUCUCUUGAUUUUUCGGCUUUCUGCCAUUUUUUUGAACUUUCACAAAAAAUCUGCCCCAGUUUAUUUUUGAACUGAGGUUCUUUUUUCCCUCUUGCUUUUGAUUUUGUGGCUUUGUCACUUUUCACUUCUUGAAACUUUUCUUUUCAACUCCAACUUGCCCCAGUGUGGGGUUUGCGAUUCUCAGGGGUUGUCAAACGAAGUAUUUUAUUCUGAAGGCUCAAAAGGGAUAACUAGGGAUAGAAUGCUUGAUCGGAAAAGAAGAGAGCCUGACUUUUAUUCUGUUCCUUACAAUAACUCUGAAAGGAAACUUUCGUUAAUGCGAAAAUUUCUAGCAUGUAUCUGAAUUAAUUGACUGAGGAAGACCCUUGUUCAUCUAUAUUUGUGAAACAUAGGCGGUCUGUGCGGACAAAUCUCUUCCUUUUCUUUCUUUUUCUUUUCCAAAAUUGGAACCCGAGUGGAAUCAAAUUUUCCCAAUCUGCAGUUCCCUUUCCCCUUUUUUCUUUUUCUCUUUUUCAAAAUUCCCCAGUCUCCCUCCCCAAUGUGGGGUGCGAUCAUAUGUGCACUCGAAAAGAACCACCCAUUUUUUGGCUCAAAUGAGGAUGCAAGGGAUAAAUGGUGUUUAGGUUGUAGAAACGACGGCCAAAGUAUCAUUCUUACACCUCAUGACAACCAAAGUAACAAAAUGGUCAUUGAAAAUCCAUUCCCCUUUUAAAUAUUUGAAAAUUUUCCAAUAGAGGGUAGUGAUCAUUAAGGCGCUCAUUUGAAACGAAGUUAUUCUUUCAAAGGCUCAAAUGAGAGAACAAAUGAUAAAAUGUGUAUAGGUAGAGAAACGAAUGCUCGAAAUAUCAUUCCAAAUUUUCAAAACAAACAAGAAUAAUGCACAUUUUUGCUUUCACUUAGAUGUGAAUUGAAUCGGUUAAACACAAUAGAUAUUUUCAAGCAAAGAUAGCCCCAAUUUGUAAUUUAUCAAUCAAUGUGACUGAUUUUAUUUUGGGGUCAAAUGAAGGAGGAAAGGAAUCUCAUAGGGCCUUUUGAGUGACCUCUUUUAAUUCUGAGCACUCUUAUUGUGUAAUUCAAAUCACCAAUCUAGUGUAUACAAGAGUUUUAGAAAGCAUACACUUGCAAAUUUUCAGGCUGGAGGUUGAAAAACCUUAAUUUGGUCUCAUUUCUCAAAAUUCAUCAUGAACUCUCCAAGGAGUAAGAAUAAAGAAUGAAAUAUACAUAAAUAUACACAAAACAAAGAAUUGUCCAAAAAUUUUAUUGCUGAAAAAAAAAUUCUCAUUCAAUUAUGAUACAAAUGAGAAGAGAGAAACUUAUAAAGAGCUCAAAAUAUACACUUUUGUCUCAUUUUCUUUUGGAACAAAAUGUAUUAACAAAUCAAAUAAACAGAAUUUCCCUUUGGAAAAUAAUUACAAAAUCUCUCAGAGGCUUUAGCGUAGAGCUUCCAGAUAAAUCAUUUAUGUUUUCAUUGUAGGAUCUGCCCAAGAAUCAAAUAACACUUGCAGUUUUGACUCUUUAUUAGAUCGGAAGUGCCAUCAGAUAUAGAAAAAUAUUUUCUCUUUUAUUGAAGUGUUUUUUAUGAAUGCAGGGGAGGGGGGAAAACAAAAGAAAAAUACCCCGAGUUAGUAGACAAAACUGCAAAAUCGGUAUGCAUGUCCUAUGGGGGGAACCCUUUUUUGUGCCAAGUGUAGGCCUAGCAUGAAAAUGCAAUCCUCUAGGGUAGGCACCAUACCAUACCUGAUGGAUCUGAUCAACUCAUGGAGUGAAAAAUAAUUUGAAAAAUUUGGCCCAUUGGAAUGAGAAGAGACGUUGGUCAAAAUGAGGAUCUCGUCCGAAGGGAUUGAUCACUUUUGAUCGAUACAAGAACUUGCAAAACGCAAGGGUUUGACCUUGACGAACUUCCUAUCGAAGAGAUUGGAAUUCGUUGACUAGAUUUCUCAGUGAAUCACGGGUCAAAACCCUAACUGAUCAAAUGGCUGGAUGCAAUGGAUGUUUUUCUCAAAAUCGACUAGGUUUUCCAUUUUGAAAUUCGACAUUGAAACCCUUAUUGGUCAAAUGAAAUUGACAAUUUAUUAAAAAUCGACCGGAUUACCCUAAAAAGGGUAAAUUGGUCAAAUGAAUUGAGUGAAAUUUACUCAAAAAUGACCAAACCGUCCUAAAAAAGGAACCUGAUCGAAUGAAAUUGAGAAUUUUAUUCAAAAUGGACCAGAUCAUCCUUAAAAAAAAUUCGGUCAAAUGAAAUCGAGAAUUUAAAAAAAAUUGACCAGAUCGCCCUAAAAGGGGUAAACUAGUCAAAUGAAUUUUAUGAAAUUGAUGAUUUAUUCAAAAUCGACCGGAUGACCCUAAAAAGGGUAAAUUGGUCAAAUGAAUUGGCGAUUUAUUCAAAAUCGACCGGAUGACCCUAAAAAGGGUAAAUUGGUCAAAUGAAUUGAUGAUUUAUUGAAUGAAUAGGCAAAAUGGAUUGGUUAAAUUGUCCGGCCAUUGGUUAUUUCAAAAUUAUUGAGGUGCAUUAGUUUAUGACCUUCUAAAAAUCAAAUUUUGGCCUCAAUUUAUUUAUCGUCUCAAUAGGAGGAAUCGUUUGUGAAUUUCUUCAAAUUAAUGUCCUUCACGCAAGGGAUUUUUACCAAUUUGGCCAAAAAGUGAUUAUUAGACGCUCAUAUUCCAAAAAUCACUCUUAUGAAGACGAUCGGAUCCUACCUUACCUUGUGCACUACCCCUUUGGAUGGUACAAAAUGUAAAUGUGCAAGUCUCUUUGGAUUAAGUAUCCGAGACACAAGGCGGCUUAUUCCUAAUAUGGGAUCCCCUAAAUGGCAUUCCCUUUCUAGGGUUUAAUGCAUGAUGCCAGUUAUUAAAGCAGGAAAAAUGCAAUUCGAAAUGAAACGUGACCUAAGGAACCCUUUAUCUGCCAGGGUAGGCCUAGAAUGAUAUGCAAUCAUUAAUCUAUGAAUGCAAUAUACCCAAAAUCUUUAAACGUGCAAUAACCUAUCUACGAGGGUAGGUUCUAAAAGAAGGUCAUGUCAGACCUCUUAUUUGCUAGGGUUUGUGAAUGCAAUGGGGACAUAAAACCAAGAAAAGUUAGUUCAGCCAGAUAAAUACACAUAACACAUUGUAGUAACGAAAUCAAUACAAAGAAAUAAAGCAAUAAAAGGGAAAGAGGGGUUGGAUCCCUCCCCUCGUGAAUCGUGUCCCUAAUAGGGUAAGGCAGACACUAUCCUAGGUAAAACUAUCAUGGAUGCAUGAGGUUAGGGCUCACUAAUGCAUCUAGACUCGAUAAGCUCAGGUCCCCGAGCCUUCAGACUUAGAAACCAAGGGUCAUCAAUCCCAAGGUUCUUUGUCGGUGGCUCGAGCGAUUCCCCAAACACCGCUACGCACACAUCGUGUCACGGCUACGUGUUUGAGUGAAUCUAUCAAAAAUCCUCAACCUUUGACUAAAAGCUAAAGGCUAUCAACCCAAAGCUUAAAGCGGAAGGUCGAGUGACCCAUCGGAUCAUGCUACACACACAUCGUGUCGUGAUCACACGUCCAAGUGGGUCGCCUAAAAUCCUAAUAGGGUGGAGUGGCGUGACAAGCCACUAAAAGAAAAAUAAAUGAGGGGUAAAAAUAAUUAAAACGUAUGCACGUAUGCUAGUGCUCGUUUGGAGGGGAGGGAUCAAGAACCAACGCGAGGCUCUAAGGUGAAGUCCCCCACCCAAAAUGCAAUGCAAAGCGCGGAAUCACAUACAUAAACCAUUCAUCAAUCAAAACAAUCGUACGCCAAAUGAGUAAGUGAAGGAGUUGGCACGCGUGAAAUGCAAAAAUCCUAAUAAAAGGAAAAAUGCAAUCCUAAACACCCAAAUGUGAUAUAUGAAAAGAUUAAAAGAAGAAAAAGGUUGAUUAAAUCAAAUUUGCUCGGACUCUCGAAUGUCCCCAGUGGAGUCGCCAACUGUCGCGCCCCAUUUUUUGAUAAAUAAAUAAAGUGGUUUAAAAAAAUGUAUUUUUUGUGAUUGAAAAAAUGAAUUGCGAUUUAAAAGAAAAGUGGGCCUCAAUGGGGUUUUGAGAAUGCGACGAUUUGACCCAAAAUUAUAGUUUAAAAAGGGUUUUUUGAAAUUAAAAAUCGGAGUCGCCACUUGGUAAUGAGUUAAGGUGUACCAAGUCACCUAAAAAUGUAUUUUUAAAGAAAAAUAGGAAAAAGUAGUGAGAAACCCUUUUUAAACGACUCCUAGUCUACGUAAACCAAAGAAAAAGGUUCGGGAGUCACAUUUGACAAAGGGGAAGGCAAGGAUAAAAUCCAAGGCACCCCUUUGACCUAGCCAAGGCUAGUUGCAUGAUUUAAUCAAAGAUUUUCUUGUUUUAACCAAAGAAUUUAUUACAUUUGGAUGCACUACAUGAAUGCAAACCCUAGACCUAGGGGUAUUGGGGGAAAUUUCUCUUCAAAGGUUGAGUGGUAUCAAUCACAUUAAUGGUGAAGCCCAAUAACGAUCCUUUGAAGAAGUCACGAAUGAUGCGAGUGGGAUGCAAAUGAAUGGAAUGCAUGUAUGCAAUGUGAGGACAUGAGUUUGAAAAGGUAAUAAAGGGCAAUAAUAUGUAAGUGAAAAUGUGCACGUGAGUGGGCAAAGUACGGUAUGUGAAAUGAUAAUAUGAAGUGCAUGUGUGCAAGUGAUGAUAAAAGUGUUCGUGUGCAAGUGAAGGGAUAAAAGGUGUACGUGUGCAAAAUGAGACAAAAGUGUUCGUGUGCAAGUGAAGGGAUAAAAGGUGUACGUGUGCAAAUGGGAGGAAAAAAUGAAAGUGUAAUGAUAGAGUGGAUGCAUGAACCUAGGGAAUUCAUGCAUAAUGGGUACGGGGAGACCUAAAUCGUGACUCAAUUUGCCCUUUUAUAGAGGGAAUACAAGCGUGCUAAGGCUUAGAAAAAGCCACACUCGUCUAUAUCCCAUAUUUAAGGGGACUCUCAAGCAAAUGAACCCUAUAACUAGCAUGAAAUGCAAAAAUCCUAAAAUAGAAGGAAAAGGGGUUCGAGGGGCAUGCAAAAAUGAUAAAACUAAAAAGAAUGCAUGACAUGUAAUGAACAUGCAAAUAUGCACUAUCGAAAGGGGAAAUGGCUUAUUGGGUCUAGCAUUGGACUAGCCCUUUCUAUGAAUUUCUACUAGCAUUGGACUAGUGGAAACGGAACAAUGAACCACAACUAGCGUUGGACUAGUGUGGUGACGGGAAAGGGGGCCACAACUAGCAUUGGACUAGUGUGGUGACGUCCAUUCAUCCAUCACAUUCAUUCAUGACUAUAAAAAGCGAGUAGACAUGCGAAUCACUUAUAAACACGUAGCACAUAACACUUAGCAUGCUUGACUAGAUGCAAGGACCUAAUAAAGUGAUUAAACACGUAGCAACGAAAGCAAGCAAUGAACUUAUUACAUUUGCUAACUAAAACAAAAGGGGGGAAAGGGAAAAUGGACAAGAAAGCUCGCCAAGCCCUAUCUAUUACAAGCCAAGAGGUGUACACAUACCCCAUAAUGAAUAACUUAAAUAAAAGUAAAAGUAGAUGAAAUAAAUGCAAGGAAUUAAGGGAAGGCAAGAAAAGUGAAGUAAACAUGCAUAUUCACAUAACACGUAGGAGCACGUAGGGUCAAAUGAAGUGCAAAUAUAAGGGGUAGAAUGUACCUCCCUUGAAUCGACGCCCUAACGUAGUGAAGUUACUAAUUUACCCUCCAAAAUAAUAAAAAGGUCAAGGUACCACUUAAAUUAUCAAAUAAAUCAGAGAAAAUGGAAACAAACGUCAAAUUGAAUCACUCGAAGCAUUCCAAGGAAAGUAAACUACUCGUACUUAACCAAUUAAGACAAACAAAGACCCAAUUGAAAAAAUUAAAGAGGUCUAAAGGGCCAAUUUAUUACUAUUAUAAACACUAAGGGACUAAAAAACAUAAAAUAAAAUUAAGAAUCUAAGGUGAAACUUACCAAAUCAAACUAGAAAAUUCACAAAAAGGUAAACGAGGAGCAAUUUACUAGUAGCUAAACAACCAAAUGCCAAAGAAUCCAAAAAAUCAAAUUAACAACAAGUCUAGGAAAAAGAAAUUAUUAGACCCUUCAAAUUCAUUCUACAACCCCUUAAGUAUCUACCCAAAACAAAUCAAGAUGUAUUAAAGAGGAAAUGGCAUGUUAGGAGGACAAAAUUAAUUAAGUUUUCCAAUUAAUUGGGCCAUGGAAGCAUUAGAUGGAAGCCAAGGGGUUGGAGUGCGAUUUUUGAAAGUCAUUUUCAUGCAAAAGCCAUGCAAUCACGUAGAAGAAACUUUCUCUGCAACAAAUUUCAUUUCCAGCCGUGGCUUCUUUCCAUUCUACCAUGCAAACACAAUCCAACAAACAAAAAAAAAAAAAAAACUUGUAAGGAGAUCAAACAUUCUUCCCCCUCUUCGGAACGCAAAAAUCCAGAAAAACAAGAAUAUUCAAAUGCUAAAACAAAAUCCAGCAACUUUGGCUUGUUCUUCCUAGUUCAUGCUGAAAACUAGCAAAAUAGAUGACUAAACCAGUUUUGGUGAACUGCUGCAACAUUUUAUAACUUCAGCAAAUCUCUUUCCUUGCAACCAUGUUCAUGCCAAUUCUUUAUUCAAAUUAAACACAUUCAUGCAAACAAACUAAGAGGGAAACAUGCUGGAAGUAUUAUUUAAUAAAAUCAGCAAAGCUUGGAACGAAAUGGAAGAAAACAACAAGAUAAGGUCGUGAGUUUCUGGUUCAGCAAACUGAAAUGCAUUUUCCAGCAAAUGCUCAAACAUGAUUCAAACAUUUUAGGCUCAAACAUGCCAACUCAAACCUUACUUAUCCCAUUGAACACAACAUCCAUUACCACAUGACAACAAGAAAAACUGGUCUGCCCAACAACAAAGAAAGAACGAAAAAUGCAGCUAGAGUUCCUGCAACAAACAAGCAGGCUGCUGCAUUUUGUUCUACUUUUUCCUUACACACACAAACAUCAAUGCCAAACCUUCCCUCUCAUCCCUUCAACACCAAAUUAAGCAUGAAAACUGAAGUGCAAAACUCAACUAGUAACUAAGGAGAAGGCAACACGGCAGAGAAAAGAAAAUGCAGCAGCUUCUCCUUGCUGCGUUUUUGAAGAGAAUGACUCUUAAAUAACUUGGGCAACUUCAGCAAUUUCAUACCAUGAGUUUCCAACAAAACUUUCAGAUUCAAAAUACAUCAGAAAUGACACAUAUUCAUGCUAAACUCUGACCCAAACAAACCAGAGACAAGUCGCAAACAUCAAAACAUUUCUGCAUUUUCUAAUUGCAACAUUGCCGCAGCUUCAUCAAGAAAAGCAGAAAGUUUUGCAACCCAAGGUUCACUAUGUUCACCAUGAAUGCACACUUAGACAAGCAAACAAGGGAAUUCGGGGAUAGAGAGGGACUGAAACAUGUAUUUUCCAGACAUGACGAAGAAAACACCAAACUCCAGCUAAUGCGUCAAAAUGCAGCGAUGGGCAAGAAGCAAAUGACAUGUUGCGGCAAGCUUUCAAACACAAACAUAACCACACUAUGAUUCAAACAAACCACAUAGGCUUAUCAAGGAGAAAUCUGUAGAAAGACUCCUACAAUACCUCAUCAGAAUUAGAUGCUGAACACAUAAACGAAACAAAAAAAAACUGAGUUGCAGAAAGGCUAAAUAAAACCCAAAUUCGUUCAUGAAGAUCCUGCAUAAUUUCUAAUCUCCUCUUUGCAAUCCACCAUUCGUACGUUAAAACCCCAAACAAAGUCAUGCAAAAUCUGGGAUAAUGUUCUGUAACUUCACAACCAUGACAUUCAAGGCACACACGACUAACAAAAUUCAACCAAAGACGUAAUCUUUCGAACCAGCACAGCACUUUCUACUACUUCCAACGUCAAACAGAUCAAAUGUUUCAUUCCAACGCAAAACUAUAGUAGAAGAGUGGAACUUUUAGCUGCGGAGAAAGAUAAAAGAAACGGUUACCUUGAGAAUCCUGACACCAAAUUUAUGGAGACCCGUGAGCUUGCUGCGACCUUGAUGAAGAAUCCGCUGCUGGUUCCUCCUCUUUACUUACAUAACUCUGCUUUCUUCUUUUCCUCCCAAUCAGAAACCAGUCGCUCCUUCUUCUAACCCUCAGUCUUUUCUUGCUUUUCUAAACCUCCGCCAUCCAGAUUCUAUGCUCUCUCUAUCUCUCGGCCCUUUCUCUCUAGCCCCUUCUCACAGCCGACCCUCUCAACUCCCCAGACUCCCUUCCAUUUUUUUAUUUUUUUUUUCCGUCAGCUUGCUCCCAAAACCUCUAUCUCUCUCCUUCAAGCUUUCUCACUCUGUCCGUCUCCUCUCAAAACCUCUCUUGCGGCUGCCUUUCUUUUUAGCUUUUAUACCAGAAUCCCCAACCCUAAACAACUUUCCUCAAAUUGCAGCUGAAGGGCUGCCUGGUCCUCUGUUUGCAAGCUGCGGCAAUACGCAGCUUGCAUGAAGCAUUUCUUUUUUUUUUUAAAUUAAUUAAAACAAUAUUGAUAAUAAUAAAAAUAAAUGACAAAAACAAAUUAAUUAACAUUGGAUAACAUAAACAAGAAAUAACAAAAUGCCAAUUCCACUUUUCCCUUUUUAUUUUCCAUUUUCAUCAUUUUUUUUUUUGCUCUUUUCUUUUUUUCUAAAUGAACCAAACAAAAAUAAAAGAUAAAUUAAGUAGAAAUGACUAAAAUAGAUAAAUAAAACCAAAUAAAACAAAAUUGCUAUUUUUUCCUUUUCCUUUUUCCCUUUUUUUUCUUAUGAUUUUUCCUUUUUUCAUUCUUUUCCAUUCAUUUUUCCAUUGUUUUCUUUUUCUUUUUGAGAAAUUCCAUCCUAAAAGCUUAAAAAUAAAAUAAUAACAUGAAAACUAAAAAGACUGAAAAACUAAAAAUGAAUAAAACAAACAUGACAAAAACAAUAACUAAGAAAUAAAGAGUAAAUGAACUUGAGCUAAAAUUUGGUGUCUACAGUCAAUAUUAAUAAUGAAGUGAUGGUCUUCUAAUUAGUGCCUCCACUUGGUGGCUGUAGUAACUAAGGCUAGUAACUCCUUCUCAUAGAUGGAUAGUACAAGGUUCUUAGGUUCCAGUCCUUGACUGAGGAAGGCUAAUGGUUUUCUAUUUUGCUUUAAGACUGACCCUAUUCCACGGUAAUAGGCAUCAGUUUCUAUCACAAAUGGUUGAGUAAAAUCAAGGAGAGCUAAUACAGGUGUGCUACACAUGGCCAAUUUGAGCCUCUGAAAUGCCUCUUCUGCUUCUGCUCCCCACUUAAAGUUAUCCUUCUUCCACAAUGUAGUCUGUGGUCUAGCUAUUCCCCCAUAACCUUUGACAAAUCUCCUAUAAUACCCUGUCAGUCCUAGGAACCGCUUUAACUAUUUCACAUUCACUAGUUGUGGCCAAUUCCAUACUCUCAAUUUUCUUAGGAUUAGCCUUCACCCAUCAGCUAAGAUGAUGUGACCAAGAUACUCUACUUGCAACGGAGCAAAGGCACACUUGCUCUUCUUAGCAUACAACUGGUGUUGGCUCAAAAUGCUCAACACCUCAAUGACAUGCUUCACAUGAUCCUGCAAAGUUGGACUGUAUACUAGUAUUGUGAGGACCCGUAAAUUUUCCUAAUUUUAUAUCAUUCAUCUUAUCUUCUCGCCUGCAUUUUUCUUCAUUAUACCCCACCAUCUCGAUUUCUCCAGAGAUUUUAUAAGUAAACAUAGUUUUUAAAUCAUUUUUCUAGUAUACGUUAGUUCAUGAGAAAUAAAGAGUGUAUAUUGGACGUGGGACCCACUAGUGGCGUUAAGUGCGAUAAAUUCGACAAAUUAGGUUACGUUUUGUAUACCGGAAUUAAUAUACUAGGUGUUAAGAGAUAAUUAGAAGUUGCUUAGAUGGAUUAAUCUUGGAGAGACAAAGGGAUAAGAAUAACUGAAGAAGGUGCCAAGUGUCAUGACCCUAUUGCAAGUUGGACUUUUGACCAUCUUACCUCAACUUUACUAAAACCAAAAUUUGACCAAAAAUCAAGCCAUUUUCUCCUUCUUAUGGCCGAAACUUUGAGAGCAAGAGAGAAAGAAAAAAACCUUCAUCUUUCACUCCAAUCUUGAAUUCUAACCGAUAGAAUUGCCAAUUUCUCCAUAAAAGUUGUUUACUAGGGAGAUUCCAAGGUGUUUGUGGAGCUAAUUUGGGAAGAAGAACUCUAAGCCAUCACCUUUCUUGAGAUUUCAAGGUAUCAUGUCUAGCAAUCCACUCUUUAUUCUUAAUAAUGGUUUAUUAGUGACUUGUGUUGGCUUAAGAGGUGAUUUUAUGGAAGAUUUCUUGGAUUAAAGUGAAGUUAGUUAAAUUUCUGAUUUUUUUUUGGGAUUUUUCUGUUUUCCUAUGAUGGAUAUGGUUAGUCUUGAAUUGAUGGUUCUAAAUGGUGUUAAAUAGCUCUCUUGUGAAUCAAUUGCGGUUAUUUGCAGAAAAUUUCAGCUUGUACGGAAAAUUUCAGGUUGGGGUUUCAAAUUUGUCCUGUUCUGACCGGAUUUAUUUGGGCAUGUUAGAGGUCGAAUUAGGCUUAGGCUAAAACAUGAAAGUUGUAUCAAAUGGUGUUAACUAGUUGUCUAAAAAAUUUCAACUCGAUCCAAGUACUGUAGCAUGUGAAGUGACCGAAAUACCCUUGACUGCCCAUGAGCCCUAUUUCGCGCCCAGAUUUCUGUUUUCGUGGAGUUUUCCAUUUUUAACCAUGAAAAUGCAUGAUUUGGCUUUGGAGGUCUUCAUAAGAAAUGUAGGUAUAUGUCUUGGUUUCGAAAUUCCAUAAGAUACACCUCAAUCGGAUUUCAGUAUCCUGAGUUAUUGUCGUUUAACCAUAGUGCGGUUAGCCAACCUGUUGGUGAGAUUCUGGUUUCAUAUAUUGCACUUUUGACCUUGCUACACUACGAACUGGAUUGAGUGGUCUUCACCAAAGUUGUAGCUCUCUAUCUUAGUUUCGAAACGGUAUAAAUUGUAUUCCAAUCCGAUAAGCGUAGCCUCAUUUGUGUCCGUUACGCAAAACAACGUCAAACCUGUUUUCCUUUCCGGACUUUUCCCUAGCUUGAAUUUGUACUUGUACUAUUUGGAGCCUAUUGAACGGCUAUUGAAAUGAGAUUAAUUUGUGUGUGACUUUGGGAUUGAUUGAGGAAAAAUGAAGCCUGGAUGGCUGGAAAAGUAAGCAAAUUUAGGGGGAAUGCUGUCCAAUUUUCUAGACCGUUUGGUUCCUUUAAGUUUGAGUUGCCUUUUGGUAGAACUGAAGGGCUUUUGGGUUGUUUGAGCCCUAGGUCUUCAUGUUACCUUUUCGUUCCCAAAAAUCAUGUUUUGUACCCUUGCAUUAAUAAUUAUUUGGCGAGGCAUACGACUAGUAGUCGAGCCUCACUUGUGCAUUCUGUUUACUCGAUUUUGGAUGUGGAACCUUCAAUUGUUUUACUUUGGUUCUUUUAGGGUUUCUUGGCGAUUAAAGCCACUUUGGCGUGAAAACUUUUGAAGUAUCUGUACUUGCACUGGUGAGUGUACCACUCCCCUCACUUGUUAUUUAACUUGAUUUCUAUGCAUGCAAUCUGUGAUAUGAAUGACUGUACUAUCUGUUUAUUCUGUUUGAGACGAGGGUGUACUUUAUCACACUCAUUCUCUUGUCUGUUCGUAUGCCAAUUUACUGUGCGAAUUUGAAUUUGUUAUCUGUAUCUGUAUCUGUUCUGACGUCGUUUGGAAGAUUGUAUCCAACGACCUUUCUGUGACCUCUGAGCUCAAAUCCUGUGGCGAAGUUACUCGAGUCGAGCCGGCAAGGGCCUGGUCGAUUAGAUAACGAUCCACAGUAGUCUGUUUUAGGGAUCUCCCUUGAUUCCGGUAUACUCGAGUAUUACUACUUCUGUUUCUGUUUGGUGUUCGGGCCCGGUAGGGGUAAGUUUGGUGGACGGAUUUUGGUGUAAAGUGGUGCUCUACUGGACGGGACUGGUUACUUUAUUUGGAAGUUGACGGAGUGUCAACUAUUAUUUCGAUCAAACUUCGGUGAAGCAAGUGGGAAUUUGGCUCCUGAGAGCCACCCGUAUCCUUUCUAUCUAUGGUGUUUGUUCAUUUCUUUAUUUGAUUUGCAUAUGUGACUAAUUUAAUAUGAAGUUCCAUGAGUCUUACUUGUUAUUAUUUUGGUACCUCAUUGAGCGUAAACUCACCCCCUUCCCGUUAUCUUUGUUUUCCUUAUAGGGAACCACACUUUGAGCCGUGAUUUUGAGAAAAGGGUUGAGCUGGUGUAAAACGUUCUUUUGUUAGCUCUUGUGUAAUCAAAACCCUAAUUGUCUUUUAAUGAAGUAUCCCGCUUUUAAUUGUAAAGUUUUCGAUGUAUGUAUAUAAGUGUUUUAUCAUGUACAUUAAGUGUAUUCAUUUGAGAUGGUACCUUACGGUGUAGAACUCAUGCUUCUCAACUUAGUAGUCUUCGAUUGAUUGUUCUCUUGGGGAUUCGUUUAUGCGCUAUAUCGGGUUUGCGUGAUUCGACUGUAUAUCCUCAACCUUGACCCUGAUCUGAAAAUAUCCAGCCCUUAAAUCUAUUUUCGUGAAGUAUUUAGAGCCAUGCAACUCAUCUAGGAACUCAUCAACAAGAGAUAUGGGGUAUUUACUCUUAAUUUUUAGCUCAUUCAAUUGUCUGUAGUCUACAUAGAACCUCCAUGUCCUAUCUUUUUUCUUUACAAGCUGCACAGGAGAUGUAAAAGGGCUAAUGCCAAGCUAAAUGAUCCCAUUUUCAAGCAUCUCUUGUACCAGCUUCUCUAUUUCAGUCUUUCGUAAAUAGGGGCACCUGUAAGGCCUAAUUUGGAAAGGUUUAGCCCCCUCUUUGAGUGAGAUGGCAUGAUCCUAGCUCCUCUCAGGAAGCAGCCCUUGAGGUUCCUUAAAUACACUCUCAAACUUUUCCAGUACCACCUCAACAACUGGAGGUAUUGCCUCCUAUUCCUGCACUUUAUCAUCUACUGCACUCACUCGUGCUAUAACCCUGUAGGCUUGUUUCCUAGCCCAAUUAUGCAACCUGCUACCCUUGAUCGGCUUCAACUGUACUUGACUAUUUUCCCAUUUCAAUUCCACCUAUUGUUUACCCUUCCUAAACUUCAUACUUAACCCUUUAAAAUCAAACUCCAUGGGGCUAUAUCUAGCAAGCCAAUCCACCUGUAACACCAUAUCACAAACCCCUAAUUUUAGUGUAUUAAACCGAUGCUGGAACUCAUAUUCUUGCAUUUUCUAGGUUACAGGUAUAACUAGGCUCUUGGAUUGCAUCCUUUCCCCAUUAGCUACCUUAACUACCAAUAAAUGUUCUCUACUCCCUAGUCCCAAGCUUUAGGCUACUUGUUCAUCCAAGAAUCAGUGUGUACUGCUAUUGUCAAUCAGUGUAGUGAUACACCUUUCCUUUAUUACUCCUUUUAAUCUAAUAGUUUUGUGCUCAUUCCCUCCUGCCAGAGCAUGAAUUGAAAUUUCCACAUGUUCAUCUUCUAGUCUCUCUGCAAUACAAUCACAGAAAACUUCAAGCUCAUUCCUUUCCUCCCCAAUUAUAGUUUCUCUUUCCUCUUUAUCCAUUAGUAUGAAAUGCAUGUGUGAUUGCUUACAUACAUGGCCAAGUGUGUAUGGUUCAACACAUUUAUAGGACAGUCCCUUUUAUUUUCUUAGGUUAAAUUCACUAGGAGUGAUCCUUUUGAACUGGUUCUGGUUGCUGGUUGUAUUCUUAUAGUCUUUGGUGGGUAGUUUAUCAGAGGUUCUGGGAUUGGAGGGGCUCCAUUUGGGGUUGAUCUGAGGUUUGAAUGAGGUUUUUUAGAAUUGGUAAGUAGUAGGUGGAGAUUUAUGAAUUUUCUGUAGGGCUUUCAGGUUUCUCUCUUGAAGUUUUAACUACUUCUAUUGCAUCUGCUAGAGUUGAGGGCUUAGCCAUCUUGACCAUGUUUACUAUUUCUUCCUUUAAAUCAUUCAAAAAGCAUGCUUUGUAAUAGGAAUCAGUUAGAUAAGGGAGAGAAGGCAUUACCAAUGCUUUGAGCAUUUCAAAUUUCUCCAAGUAAUCAUCUAUAGAGCCAAUUUGCAUCAGCCCGUUGAACUCCUCAAUGGCCUCCUCUAGGAUCCCAUCACCAAAUCUCUCACAUAAGGAAGUAGAGAGCUCAUUCCAUGGGAUUGUUUCUCUACCACUAAACACUCCAUGGAACCAAGUAUCAACUCUAUCCUUGAAGUACAAUUCUGCAAUUUCAGACUUCAUGCUCUCUUCCACACCAUUGAUUUUGAAGAAUUUGUUAGCCUUCCUGAUCCACUCCUUUGGAUUCUCCCUAUUGAAAUUUGGUAGUUCCAUCUUUGCCAACCUGGUAAGGGCUUUAUCCUCCCUUAAGUUUGAUCUUCCCUGGCCUUUUGGUUUGCCAUUAGCCCUUUGCAUUUCCUAUUUCUUGUCCCCUUCCUUAGUUCCUACUCCUGAACUACCACCCUCCACCUCCUUGCCCUUUUUGUUAAGUUUUGCCAUCAUCUGGGCCAUCAAGGACAUCAUACUUUCAUAUUUUUUAUCCAGAUUUUUAAGAGUCUUCUCAGUGCUCUUCUAUCUAUGCUCAAGUGUUCUCAAUGCUUGUUCCGAACCAUCAUUCCUAUUAGCAAAUAUCCUGACUGCACUUCCUAGUUUAGUUAAAUCCUUCCUUAACAUCUCAUCAUGCGAUUUUGUCAUCCCAAUGGCUCGUAAUUGAGCUCUGAUGCCAUUGUGAUAGUAAAGAACCAGAUUGCAGCAAUAGCAGAAAUAUCAAAGCAACCAAUAUGAACUUAACUACAACGGAAAUUAAUGGAGCAAAGAGUUUGAGAAUUCAAAAGAUGAAUUCAGCCUUUCAUUAAUGAACUUCAAUAACAACAUACAAGAAUGGAAAUUAUGGAUUCAGAGAAGAAGGGGAAAGAGAUGAAGAAAAACUGGGAAAGGGAAAUGAGAUUGGCAAUUGCUAAAUCUUCUUACAACCAAAUAUGGAAAAAUGACAAAAGAUGAUUCAUUAAAAAAGUUCCCCACGCUUAUAUCAUUUCCAAAGCUAACUAACUUCCAACUUGACCAACAAGCGUAAGACAUGUGUCCCUCCCAGAAUCUUCAGUUGCAGUGGUCCUCAACUCUUGCAGGAUUUGCAGAUUUCCAGUAAAGGGGUGCUUUUGAAAUCACGCCUUCUUUCAGCUUCUCACUGUCUCUCUCUCCUUGCCUUUGUUUCUAUUGCACGCCUUCCCAUUUCUUGAUGCUCUUGUAAACUAAAAUUGAGUAUGAGUCCCUCCGCUCGAUCACAAAUUUUCGCCUGAUUUUUCCCUCAAGUGACUUGUCUUCACUCUACAGAGUAACUAAUUGGGCAAGAAAAGGCAGAGAGAUUGAUGCAUGAGAUAAAGCAGAGGCGAAGAUAAUGGGGAUUGAAUCAGUCGUUGUGACGCCCCCACUUCUCCCAACGGCGAACCCAAGGGUAUCCGCAGAACGCCUGCCCAACUCUCGCCGGGACUCACUACAAUUCAUGGUUCAAAACUAGGAAUAUUUCAAAUAAUUUCAAUAUAUAUAUUUAAAGUACUCCAAAACAUUUCAUACUUACAAUUAGUUAACCUUCAAGGUUAAAUACAACCCAAUGAAAAAUGUACCAUAGUCAUCUACUAUAAUACAACUUAAAGUCUCCAAAAGGAAACAACUUAGUACUAUUCACGAGCACUCUCGGUCUCGAGCCCUGUUAAGGAAAACAAAAACAUGAAAUGAACUAAACAGCCCAGUGAGGUUCCAAGACACUCUAACAGUUUUACUAAAUCAAGUAAUUUGAGCAUAAUACAUGUAUGAUUCAAGGUUACACAUUGGCACAUUAACAUGAAAUAAUUAUCAAUAUACAGAAAUAAAGAUAUUGAAGGAUACGGUGUUCUAGUGGAACCAUUUCGGUCAACUUCACCUUAUAACUUCAGAUCCCCUCGGUUUGUCUAGCCAUCACCUUAUCCCUCCAGUGGUGAUACUCGAGUAUACCGAAACGGUGUCCCAGAGUUCUAACCUACUCGACCGAGCCCAGUCCUGGCUCAAGCAGGUUAGUAACCAAGGGCAGGAUCCAGUUCAGUUUAGAGCUUACAACAUGUGCAAGUAAUCAAGUAGAUCGGUAAACGGUAAGUAAUCAAAUAGAUCGGUAAAUGGUAAGUAAUCAAAUAAAUCGAUAAAUAGUAAAUAGUUCAAAUAAAUCGGUAAAUGGUAAGUAGUUCAAAUAAAUCGGUAAACGGUAAGUAGUUCACGGUUAACGGUAGAAAUUUGUCAUUUUAGUAGGUCGAGUGAGAUAAAGUACACACUCGUCUUAAAACGAUGGAAAAGUUCAUAAGAGCAAUUAUCGGUAGCACUUAACAGUUAAACACAUAAUGACCAUAGAGUAAACAUGUCGUAAAACUAUUCAAGUCACGUACUCCUAUAUGGAACACUCACCAAUUCAAAACAAGUGAGUAAGUACUCAAACAAGUGUUUAGACGUCCGCUUCGAGUUCCUCUUGAAGGUCCCCUUGAACGCCUGAGCAAAUAAUAAUUAACUUCACUCACAAUCAUGCAUUUACCAAGAAAUGAUGCACACUCAUUUAGACUAAAUCAAAGUCUUAAAAGAGAGCUUCAAUUCUCUCAACUCGAGAUUCAAGAGUGAAGUUUUAAAGUCCGAAGAGAGACUAGCAUCUUCCAUGAAAUCGAGUUCAAAACAUUCAAUCGAUAUCGAGAAAAGAAGUCAAGUUCCCGAAAUUGUAUUUUCUAAGUAAUCGGCUAAUUUCAACUUUGCACAACAAUCUUUGGAAAAUCAAAUCUAGAGUUUGACACGUCAAAAAAUGGAAAAGUUACACCGUUGGAAUCUUGGUUCAAAGUACUAAAAGUUCCUAAAAGACAUUUUUCCAAGAUUAUAAACGAAAGACAUUCAAAUUUCAGCCCAAAGUGGCUGACUUGAACCUAUAAGACAGUUUCAGUCUUAGUUUUCGGCAUAUUUUGGAAAUUCGGCAAAAUUCACAGAAAGUGAACUAGCCUCCGAAAUUCGUAACAGAAUAAGAAAUCCAAACAAGGUUUCAAACAGGAUAAACGGAACUAAAUUCGGAGUUUUUGAACAUUGAUAUAUAAUAGUCUGAAGUCGGCUGGAAUUUGGGCACAAAUAAGAAUUUUUCCAGAUUUGAAAAGCAAACUUUGUAGCAUCAUUGGGAUAUCGAAAGUUUGUUGAAAUAACACCAAAUUUUGUACACUUAAACCUCUAUAUGUGGACUACCCUUGUAUCAAAUUUCAUGCAAAAACUUACGUGGGAAUGUAGUUAACAACACAACUGAAAUUCGUAAAAUGUUUCAAAGCCAAUCUGUCUUCUUGCUUUCCUUUCUUUUCAAAAUAUUUUGCACAAUGAAAUCAGUCCCAAUUCAAUCCAUUUUUGAAACCAAGAUCCUAGAAACAACUAUUAUACAUUUGGUAGGUGAUUGACACUAGAAUUUUCGGAACAACAUGUCUCAAAUCAAAUUAGACCAGUCAGCUAGCAAGAAGGAAGGAUUUUCCAGGUUUCCAGCUUUACCGCAGUUUGAAAAUUGAACCAUAUCUCAUUCAAUACAACUUGAAAUUGAGAAUGGUUGGUGGUAUUGGAAACUAGAUUCAAAAGGAUACAUUUCAUCAGAAGAAGUCAUUUUGAAAAUCAGUUCAUAGGUAGUUCGAAUUUAAGCGACAAGACACAGCUUACCACUGUGAUUCGAACAGAAUAGCAUAACAGAACAGGAAACUUUGGUGAACUACUACGGUUCACUCAGUUCGAACUAAAUGGUGAAUUUUAUACUGUUGGAAAGCUACAAAUGUCUAGUUUCAAAUGCCACAAACGGCACUUGAUUUUGAUGUCUGUACAGAGAGAUAUGUUCAAUUAAAGAGACACUGUUCAUCAGCCCAGAAUACGUUUUCCAGUUUGCCUUUCAUUUCGAAAUUUCAACUUUUACUCAACCAAAUCAAUUGAUUUUUGGUAGAAAAUUUCUACACAUCCUAUACAACAUAUCUACAUCAGAUUCAAGGUCAUUUGAGCAUCAAAAAUUCGAACCAAAGCUUCAAGAAAAACUGGGCAAAUUUUCGGCUAAACUUCCUAUGCAAUUCCUUUGGCUUUUCUUUCACUUUUCCAACAAAUCUCAUCUUGUUUAUCACAUAAUUAAUACAAACAACACUUAUCAUCAUCAUAUCAGUCCUAUAUCAUCAAGAUGGGAUUUCAUAGAGCCCACUCCAACCAUUUAAACCCAACAACAACAAUAACAAUGAAGCUACAAACUUCCUAGCAAAGAUCAACUCACUAAAUCCAAGAUUAGAUGGUUGAAUGAUUACCUCUUCUUCCUUUGAGUGAAAUCAGAAAUUUUACACCUCUAAGACCUCAAGACAAACCGUGAGAUGAUGCUUCCUUCCUAAUCCAAGUGAAUCUCCAAGUGAAGUGGAAGUUGUGUGGUGAAUUUGAGUGAGAAAUGGUAGCACAAAGUGAGGUGAAAUGAAGUGGAGCUCUCCUUCUUCUUCCUUGAAGAAUUUCGGCCAGCAAGAUGAGAGGAGAGAGAGUGUUUAGCUGAUAACUAAAUCUUCUCUUGGAAGCUUGGAUACUUGGGGCUAAAGUUUGUCUCAAAAGUCAACUAGCAAAAGUUUCGCGCACACGCGUUUCGUGUCCGUUUUUUUUCUCGGAUUUAUUUCACUUGUGCACUAUACCUUUAAUGUAUUUCCUUUAAUAUUAUAAUUAUUCACUCUUAGUGGUCUAGAAUAAGUUUCUUAAUCUCCACUUAGCCGUUCCGGCUCGAUAUACGUGAAUUUUCGAUUCGCGCACGAUAAAGCGAAAUUGUUUGAAAUCAUUCACCACUAAUGCCUCAAUUAACUUUUCUUAGUCUAUUAUUAUUCAUUCUUAAUUCUUCAAGACUAAUACACUCUCGAAUCGAAUUUACCUCGAAAAACGUAGACUCGUUAUUUCUUACCGAACGAGCCUCCGAAAAAUAAAAUUUUCUAACGAAACGUUUUAAAAAUGUAAGCGAGACAUUAUUUCGUAUAAAUGAAUUUAAAAUGGUUGAAAUAAAUUAUUCGGAGAAAACGGGUGAAUGAAUAAUUAAUUAAGUCAUUAAAAUAAGAUUAAAAUAAGUCGGGUCCUCACAGUCGUGUGGAGAGUGAAACGGGAUAAGGAUAGAACUUGAGUGGAGGGCUAUUGAAUGAGUGCAUCUUUCGUGGGAGAGAGUUCGUGAGAGAAGAACAACAGAGCAUAUUUGAUGGAGAGAUUAAGAAUAAGAGGAGAGCAGAUUUGACUCUGGUGUUGGAUAUCAAUGGAUUUCAAUAUCUAUCAAUAGAUUUCAAUGUCGGUAAGACUUUUGGGAUGAAGAAAGGAGCGGAUGAAAUUUAAUAGCUAGGCUGGAAGAAUUCGGUGUUUUGCAAUGGUAGAGAGAAAAAUUGAGCGCAUCUGAAAUAUUGAACCGGAGGAGAGGAAGAUGAAAUUACAGCAUUACCCAUUCGCACUUUUAUUCUCUUUUAUUCCCUUAAGAUUAAGAUUAAGGUGUUGAGAAAGGUUUGUUUGGAUAGAGGUUUAUUUGUCAAAAUUUAUUUACUUACAUCAUCAUUAUAAUUUUCAAUAUACCUUCUUAUCUUCAUAAUUAUUUUUUUAUCUCACAUACAUCACAUCACAAAAACUGCUACAGUAAAAAUAUCUCAAAUAAUUUACGAUCUAAACAGUGCCAUGCUAUCUUCGCCUGCUUUAGUAUUUAAUAAUCCCACAAAUCCUCAGAUCUCCCCCACACCAAUUUCCACCAAACCAAAUUUACCAUUUCUCUCUAAUGUCAAUCCAACCCAAUCCAAUUCAUCACACCCAGCCAUGAGUAACCAGGCUGAAGCUUCGGACUCAUUCUGUCAUUCUGUCGUUGUUUUCACAUCUCUCCAUUUAUAUUUGGUUAAAUAAAUCCUGUAUUUUUUCUUUAGGGGAUUUUCUUGGAUGAUUUUUCCCUUUGUUCUCGU
RNAcentral lists this long non-coding RNA (33210 nucleotides) under Coffea arabica (coffee). Its description in RNAcentral is "long non-coding RNA (CARA_LNC001221)". The record is from RNAcentral. Lineage: Eukaryota; Viridiplantae; Streptophyta; Magnoliopsida; Gentianales; Rubiaceae.